ACUUGGAGUUGAGGAAGCUGGUAUUGAUGGUGGUGGCAUUUUUAAAGACUUCAUGAGAAAUUACCCGAGCAGCCUUUGAUGUGCAAUAUGGGUUGUUUAAGGAGACCGUUGAUCACAUGCUUUAUCCUAAUCCUGGAUCAGGAAUGGUACAUGACCAGCAUCUCCAGUUCUUUCAUUUUCUCGGCACUCUUCUCGCAAAGCUAUGUUUGAAGGGAUUCUAGUUGAUAUACCAUUUGCAACUUUUUUCCUCAGCAAAUUAAAACACAAGUACAACUAUUUGAACGAUUUGCCUUCUCUGGAUCCUGAGUUGUAUAAGCAUCUUAUAUCUGAAGCGUUAUAAGGGUAAUAUCGCAGAGUUGGAGCUUUACUUUGUUAUUCUCAACAACGAAUAUGGAGAGAGGACAGAGGAAGAGUUACUUCCAGGGGGUAAAGACAUGCGGGUUACAAAUGAGAAUGUUAUAACUUUUAUUCAUCUGGUUUCAAAUCAUCGGUUGAAUUUUCAGAUACGCCAACAGAGUUCUCAUUUCUUGAGAGGGUUUCAGCAACUCAUUCCAAAAGAAUGUAUCGACAUGUUCAAUGAACAUGAGCUUCAGGUGCCAAUGGAUAAACAUGCUCUGGAUGGUUAAAAUUUUGUGUCUAUUACUGCUUUGCUAGUUGUUU
Brassica napus (rape) is the source of this 660-nucleotide long non-coding RNA. RefSeq lists it as uncharacterized. The transcript has 6 exons. NCBI's taxonomy places the organism in Eukaryota, Viridiplantae, Streptophyta, Magnoliopsida, Brassicales, Brassicaceae. The record is from RefSeq and is a predicted model, not a curated record.